CUUGGCAUGACGAAUAGAAAGGG
This 23-nucleotide non-coding RNA is filed under the name Cricetulus griseus (Chinese hamster). Lineage: Eukaryota; Metazoa; Chordata; Mammalia; Rodentia; Cricetidae. The record is from RNAcentral.